GGAGGUACAGUUCAGUGGUAGAGCAUGUAAUUGGCAUACACGAGGUCCUGGGUUCAAUGCCCAGUGCCUCUG
RNAcentral lists this transfer RNA (72 nucleotides) under Camelus bactrianus (Bactrian camel). It matches the Rfam family "tRNA". From Rfam's summary of the family: Transfer RNA (tRNA) molecules are approximately 80 nucleotides in length. Lineage: Eukaryota; Metazoa; Chordata; Mammalia; Artiodactyla; Camelidae. The record is from Rfam by way of RNAcentral. RNAcentral also lists the same sequence under 2 other names.